Molecule: microRNA, 24 nt
Filed under: Haemonchus contortus (barber pole worm)
Lineage: Eukaryota; Metazoa; Nematoda; Chromadorea; Rhabditida; Trichostrongylidae
Description: hco-miR-5955
Source: miRBase by way of RNAcentral
UGACAAGACUCCAAGGACUGGUCA